AGACAUGCAAGUCGAGCGGGAUUUCUUUUGGUAGCAAUACCGAAGGAAAUUCAGCGGCGAACGGGUGCGUAACACGUGGGCAAUCUGUCUUAAAGUGGGGGAUAGCUCGGCGAAAGCCGAAUUAAUACCGCAUGUAAUCAGGGAAGACAUCUUUCCGAAAUCAAAGGUGGCGCAAGCUACCGCUUUUUGAGGGGCCCGCGGCCUAUCAGCUUGUUGGUGAGGUAACGGCUCACCAAGGCGUUGACGGGUAGCUGGUCUGAGAGGACGACCAGUCACACUGGGACUGAGACACGGCCCAGACACCUACGGGUGGCAGCAGUCGAGAAUUUUUGACAAUGGGGGAAACCCUGAUCGAGCGACGCCGCGUGGAGGAUGAAGGUCUUCGGGUUGUAAACUCCUGUCAUUUGGGAACAAGGCGUACGUAUUAACUGUGCGUACGUUGAUAGUACCAGAAGAGGAAGGGACGGCUAACUCUGUGCCAGCAGCCGCGGUAAUACAGAGGU
This 503-nucleotide ribosomal RNA is filed under the name uncultured bacterium. RNAcentral's name for it is "bacterial SSU rRNA". It matches the Rfam family "Bacterial small subunit ribosomal RNA", at positions 51 to 532 of the family's 1533-position model. The record is from RNAcentral.